This 700-nucleotide ribosomal RNA is filed under the name Neolucanus swinhoei. Its description in RNAcentral is "eukaryotic LSU rRNA". It matches the Rfam family "Eukaryotic large subunit ribosomal RNA", at positions 649 to 1301 of the family's 3401-position model. RNAcentral also lists the same sequence under 1 other name. Lineage: Eukaryota; Metazoa; Arthropoda; Insecta; Coleoptera; Lucanidae. The record is from RNAcentral.
CCGUCUUGAAACACGGACCAAGGAGUCUAGCAUGUGCGCGAGUCAUUGGGAUCUAACUAAACCUAAAGGCGAAAUGAAAGUGAAGGUCCGCCUCGCGCGGACCGAGGGAGGAUGGGCCCGCCCACGGGGGGCCCCGCACUCCCGGGGCGUCUCGUUCUCAUCGCGAGAUGAGGCGCACCCAGAGCGUACACGCUGGGACCCGAAAGAUGGUGAACUAUGCCUGGUCAGGACGAAGUCAGGGGAAACCCUGAUGGAGGUCCGUAGCGAUUCUGACGUGCAAAUCGAUCGUCGGAACUGGGUAUAGGGGCGAAAGACUAAUCGAACCAUCUAGUAGCUGGUUCCCUCCGAAGUUUCCCUCAGGAUAGCUGGCGCUCGCCGCGCGCGAGUCUCAUCCGGUAAAGCGAAUGAUUAGAGGCAUUGGGGUCGAAACGGCCUCAACCUAUUCUCAAACUUUAAAUGGGUGAGAUCUCCGGCUUGCUCGAACACUGUUCCGUGAAGCCGCGAGAUUUCGGAUCAGAGUGCCAAGUGGGCCACUUUUGGUAAGCAGAACUGGCGCUGUGGGAUGAACCAAACGCAGAGUUAAAGCGCCCAAAUCGACGCUUAUGGGAUACCAUGAAAGGCGUUGGUAACUUAAGACAGCAGGACGGUGGCCAUGGAAGUCGGAAUCCGCCAAGGAGUGUGUAACAACUCACCUGCCGAA